UACGUAGGGUGCGAGCGUUGUCCGGAAUUACUGGGCGUAAAGAGCUCGUAGGCGGUUUGUCGCGUCGUCCGUGAAAACCUGGGGCUCAACUCUGGGCGUGCGGUCGAUACGGGCAUCACUGGAGUUCGGCAGGGGAGACUGGAAUUCCUGGUGUAGCGGUGGAAUGCGCAGAUAUCAGGAGGAACACCGGUGGCGAAGGCGGUUCUCUGGGCCUUACCUGACGCUGAGGAGCGAAAGCGUGGGGAGCGAACAGG
This 254-nucleotide ribosomal RNA is filed under the name uncultured bacterium. RNAcentral describes it as "partial 16S ribosomal RNA". It matches the Rfam family "Bacterial small subunit ribosomal RNA", at positions 524 to 776 of the family's 1533-position model. The record is from RNAcentral.